GAGUCCCACAUCAGGCAUUGCUAUACUUUCUGCUUUGACCUUCAAACAGAAUUUAGAAAACUCAAGAAGAAAAGGAAAGUCUAUUGUAUUUAACAACAGUUUUGUUCUUUCUGCUUUUUCUUCUUCCCUGAUGUUCCAAGAUUCCUUCUUUCAUCAUCCUUUCUGUUCAGGGAACUUGUGUUAACCAUUCUUUUAAGCACUUGAAGAAUGCUGUGCCACUUCUCUCCUACACAUUUUCUGAUGAGAAAUCCGCUGUCCUUUUGUUUAUCCCCUAUAGGGUCCAGGACUCCAGGGUUUCCCAGAGAACAAGACACACGG
Molecule: non-coding RNA, 318 nt
Organism: Manis javanica (Malayan pangolin)
Lineage: Eukaryota; Metazoa; Chordata; Mammalia; Pholidota; Manidae
Source: RefSeq, a predicted model, not a curated record